Molecule: transfer RNA, 61 nt
Filed under: Pomphorhynchus tereticollis
Lineage: Eukaryota; Metazoa; Acanthocephala; Palaeacanthocephala; Echinorhynchida; Pomphorhynchidae
Description: tRNA-Ile
Source: RNAcentral
UUUUAGGCCGAUCACGGGCUUCGUUGAUGUCGAAGUUGGAGGGGAAAGUAGAUACUAAUGU